UAGUCAUAUGCUUGUCUCAAAGAUUAAGCCAUGCAUGUCUAAGUAUAAGCAAUUUGUACUGUGAAACUGCGAAUGGCUCAUUAAAUCAGUUAUCGUUUAUUUGAUAGUACCUUACUACAUGGAUACCUGUGGUAAUUCUAGAGCUAAUACAUGCUAAAAACCUCGACUUCGGAAGGGGUGUAUUUAUUAGAUAAAAAACCAACGCCCUUCGGGGCUCCUUGGUGAAUCACAAUAACUAAGCGAAUCGCAUGGCCUUGCGCCGGCGAUGGUUCAUUCAAAUUUCUGCCCUAUCAACUUUCGAUGGUAAGAUAGUGGCUUACCAUGGUGGCAACGGGUAACGGGGAAUUAGGGUUCGAUUCCGGAGAGGGAGCCUGAGAAACGGCUACCACAUCCAAGGAAGGCAGCAGGCGCGCAAAUUACCCAAUCCCGACACGGGGAGGUAGUGACAAUAAAUACUGAUACGGGGCUCUUUUGGGUCUCGUAAUUGGAAUGAGUACAAUCUAAAUCCCUUAACGAGGAACAAUU
Molecule: ribosomal RNA, 525 nt
Filed under: uncultured eukaryote
Lineage: Eukaryota
Description: SSU rRNA
Rfam family: Eukaryotic small subunit ribosomal RNA
Source: RNAcentral